CCUACGGGGGGCUGCAGUAAGGAAUCUUCCACAAUGCACGAAAGUGUGAUGGAGCGACGCCGCGUGUAGGACGAAGUCCUUCGGGAUGUAAACUACUGUCAGGGGAAAGAAAGUUCUGAUCUACCCCAGAGGAAGGCACGGCUAACUCUGUGCCAGCAGCCGCGGUAAGACAGAGGUGCCAAGCGUUAGGCGGAAUCACUGGGCUUAAAGCGUGUGUAGGCGGACUGACAAGUACUUUGUGAAAUCCCACGGCUCAACCGUGGAACUGCUUGGUAUACUGUUGGUCUUGAGGCAUCUAGGGGCAACUGGAACAAACGGUGGAGCGGUGAAAUGCGUAGAUAUCGUUUGGAACGCCAACGGUGAAAACAGGUUGCUGGGGAUGCUCUGACGCUGAGACACGAAAGCCAGGGGAGCAAACGGGCUUAGAUACCCCAGUAGUC
Molecule: ribosomal RNA, 440 nt
Filed under: uncultured bacterium
Lineage: Bacteria
Description: bacterial SSU rRNA
Rfam family: Bacterial small subunit ribosomal RNA
Source: RNAcentral